UCAUACUGUACUUGGUCAGCUGAAUGAUCCUCCCACCAGCCAUAAAAGGAGCUUAACAAAGUAAGCUAACAAAAAAUUUAAGAAAUAAGAACAAGCUGAACAUCGCAAGGCAAAACACUCAGGCAUGAUUAGAUAUUCACUGUCGUCAACAUUGCUUAUCGCAGAAUAUUUAAGGGAUUUUUUUCUUGGUAAAUGUUUACAUUGGAAAAUAUAAUUCUCAGAAUUCUUGCUCAUAUACCUGUAUCCACGCAUCAAGAAUUUCAGUAGAGAGAUUAUCACUAAGGUAAAAUUCUUUUUCCACUUUUUCCCAUACACAAAAAGCUUCAAAAUGUUGAUUUGGGGGAGCUCGGCACCAGGGACACAUAGUUCAACAAUGAUAACUUUACAACACGGCAACAUGUCAUCAAAGAGGAACUCACCUAGCACAACCACCAUGUUGAGAUUGUUUUCUUUGUCUCUUCUUCAGACUACUAAUUGCCCACAUGCUCAUGUUCAAAGCAUCUGUUCUCAACAUCAAGAAGAAACAGUAAAAGAAGAUUUUUUGUACAUGUUCUUAUCAGCAGUAAAUUGGGGCAAAUAAGACAAAAAUUAAGCACAUGUUCUUAGCAGGAGUAAAUGCAAAUAAUACAGAAAUCCUAUGUGCUACUGUAAUAAGACUGAAAUUUAGCACAGUAGAAACACAUGUAACAUCAACCACCUAGAGAUAGAUCAAAUGGAAAAAACUACCAUGCGGACGGGAAACGCAUAUAACAACAAUCACUUAGAGAUAGUCAAUAUAGCAAACAUAUAUUGAACCAAUAAAGUUGGAGGCGUACCUGCCAGCCUGCAAGAUCUCUCUUGCACACCAAAAUAACAUGGCCUCCUGCAGAACAAAGGGAUCUAAGAAUGGCCCAUGAAACCAAGCGAUAUUGCAGUGGAAGGGAGCAAA
RNAcentral lists this long non-coding RNA (928 nucleotides) under Triticum aestivum (bread wheat). RNAcentral's name for it is "long non-coding RNA (TAES_LNC000861)". The record is from RNAcentral. Lineage: Eukaryota; Viridiplantae; Streptophyta; Magnoliopsida; Poales; Poaceae.